This 77-nucleotide transfer RNA is filed under the name bacterium. Its description in RNAcentral is "tRNA-Val". It matches the Rfam family "tRNA". Rfam says of the family: Transfer RNA (tRNA) molecules are approximately 80 nucleotides in length. Their secondary structure includes four short double-helical elements and three loops (D, anti-codon, and T loops). Further hydrogen bonds mediate the characteristic L-shaped molecular structure. tRNAs have two regions of fundamental functional importance: the anti-codon, which is responsible for specific mRNA codon recognition, and the 3' end, to which the tRNAs corresponding amino acid is attached (by aminoacyl-tRNA synthetases). tRNAs cope with the degeneracy of the genetic code in two manners: having more than one tRNA (with a specific anti-codon) for a particular amino acid; and 'wobble' base-pairing, i.e. permitting non-standard base-pairing at the 3rd anti-codon position. The record is from RNAcentral.
ACAACCGUAGCUCAGUUGGUUAGAGCACCACCUUGACAUGGUGGGGGUCGGUGGUUCGAAUCCACUCGGUCGUACCA